UACGUAGGGUGCAGGCGUUAAUCGGAAUUACUGGGCGUAAAGCGUGCGUAGGCGGUUUGUUAAGACAGGUGUGAAAUCCCCGGGCUUAACCUGGGAACUGCGCUUGUUACUGGCAGACUGGAGUGUGGCAGAGGGGGGGUGGAAUUCCGGGUGUAGCGGUGGAAUGCGUAGAGAUCCGGAAGAACACCGGUGGCGAAGGCGGUUAGCUGGGCAGUAGCUGACACUGAGGCGCGACAGCGUGGGGAGCAAACAGG
This 254-nucleotide ribosomal RNA is filed under the name uncultured bacterium. RNAcentral's name for it is "partial 16S ribosomal RNA". It matches the Rfam family "Bacterial small subunit ribosomal RNA", at positions 524 to 776 of the family's 1533-position model. The record is from RNAcentral.